This 497-nucleotide ribosomal RNA is filed under the name uncultured bacterium. RNAcentral's name for it is "partial 16S ribosomal RNA". It matches the Rfam family "Bacterial small subunit ribosomal RNA", at positions 28 to 507 of the family's 1533-position model. The record is from RNAcentral.
GAUGAACGCUGGCGGCGUGCCUAAUACAUGCAAGUCGAGCGAACGGACGAGAAGCUUGCUUCUCUGAUGUUAGCGGCGGACGGGUGAGUAACACGUGGAUAACCUACCUAUAAGACUGGGAUAACUUCGGGAAACCGGAGCUAAUACCGGAUAAUAUUUUGAACCGCAUGGUUCAAAAGUGAAAGACGGUCUUGCUGUCACUUAUAGAUGGAUCCGCGCUGCAUUAGCUAGUUGGUAAGGUAACGGCUUACCAAGGCAACGAUGCAUAGCCGACCUGAGAGGGGGAUCGGCCACACUGGAACUGAGACACGGUCCAGACGCCUACGGGAGGCAGCAGUAGGGAAUCUUCGGCAAUGGGCGAAAGCCUGACGGAGCAACGCCGCGUGAGUGAUGAAGGUCUUCGGAUCGUAAAGCUCUGUUAUUAGGGAAGAACAUAUGUGUAAGUAACUGUGCACAUCUUGACGGUACCUAAUCAAAAAGCCACGGCUAACUACGUG